CCUCCGGGUGGCAGCAGUGAGGCAUAUUGGUCAAUGGGCGGGAGCCUGCACCCGCCAAGCCGCGUGAGGGAAGCAGGUACAGCGUAUCGUAAACCUCUUUUGUCAGGGAACAAAGGCGGGGACUAGUCCCCGGAUGAGGGUACCUGAAGAAAAAGCAUCGGCUAACUCCGUGCCAGCAGCCGCGGUAAUACGGAGGAUGCGAGCGUUAUCCUGAUUUAUUGGGUUUAAAGGGUGCGCCGGCGGCCUGUUAAGUCAGCGGUACACGCCCGGGGCUCAACCCCGGCGAGCCGUUGACACUGGCGGGCUGGAGUUGGAGAGAAGUACGCGGAAUGAGCGGUGUAGCGGUGAAAUGCUUAGAUAUCGCGCAGAACCCCGAUUGCGAAGGCAGCGUACCGGCUCCACACUGACGCUGAGGCACGAAAGCGUGGGUAUCGAACAGGAUUAGAUACCCGUGUAGUC
This 459-nucleotide ribosomal RNA is filed under the name uncultured bacterium. RNAcentral describes it as "partial 16S ribosomal RNA". It matches the Rfam family "Bacterial small subunit ribosomal RNA", at positions 338 to 795 of the family's 1533-position model. The record is from RNAcentral.